RNAcentral lists this ribosomal RNA (391 nucleotides) under Ophioblennius atlanticus. Its description in RNAcentral is "partial 12S ribosomal RNA". It matches the Rfam family "Bacterial small subunit ribosomal RNA", at positions 791 to 1385 of the family's 1533-position model. The record is from RNAcentral. Lineage: Eukaryota; Metazoa; Chordata; Actinopteri; Blenniiformes; Blenniidae.
UAUGCUUAGCCUUAAACCUUGAUAUUAUCUCACAUUUAUUAUCCGCCCGGGAACUACGAGCACUAGCUUAAAACCCAAAGGACUUGGCGGUGCUUAACAACCCCCUAGAGGAGCCUGUUCUAGAACCGAUACCCCUCGUUAAACCUCACCCCUUCUUGUUUUUCCCGCCUAUAUACCGCCGUCGUCAGCUUACCCUGUGAAGGAACACUAGUAAGCAAAAUUAGCAAAGCCCAAAACGUCAGGUCGAGGUGUAGCAAAUGAAGGGGGAAGAAAUGGGCUACAUUUUCUGGUACCAGAUACACGAAAAGUGUACUGAAACGUACACUAGAAGGAGGAUUUAGUAGUAAGAAAGAAAUAGAGCGUCUUUCUGAAGCUGGCCCUUAAGCGCGCA